UCGGUCUCAGUUCAGAUUGCAGGCUGCAACUCGCCUGCAUGAAGUUGGAAUUGCUAGUAAUCGCGAAUCAGAAUGUCGCGGUGAAUACGUUCCCGGGCCUUGUACACACCGCCCGUCACACCAUGAGAGUCGAUAACACCCGAAGCCUGUGAGCUAACCGUAAGGAGGCAGCAGUCGAAGGUGGGGUUGAUGAUUGGGGUGAAGUCGUAACAAGGUAAC
This 219-nucleotide ribosomal RNA is filed under the name uncultured bacterium. RNAcentral describes it as "partial 16S ribosomal RNA". It matches the Rfam family "Bacterial small subunit ribosomal RNA", at positions 1282 to 1500 of the family's 1533-position model. The record is from RNAcentral.